AAAUGAAAUGAGGAAAGUGAACUUAAGUGUUGAAUGAUGCAAAAUAAGUCUUAAAAGUUAUUUUGAUUUUGCAAAUUGCUUCCCUGAAGUUCAUUACAGCUCUUUUGCACAGAUAACCCUCAAACCAAAGUUGUUGCCCACCAGUGACUUUUUAUAACCCAGGCAUACCCAGCAAGUGACCAGACAAUCAACGACAGAUGAAGCAUUCUGGUUAGCGGGGUGCCAGUAACCGUAAGUAUGAAUGUGAAGUUAAAGCAAAUUAACUUGUGCAAUUAAAGUUUGUUCUUUAGUA
Columba livia (rock pigeon) is the source of this 292-nucleotide long non-coding RNA. RefSeq lists it as uncharacterized. NCBI's taxonomy places the organism in Eukaryota, Metazoa, Chordata, Aves, Columbiformes, Columbidae. The transcript is spliced from 2 exons. The record is from RefSeq and is a predicted model, not a curated record.